CGAACGAGAAAGUUUCCUUCGGGGAAUGAGUAAAGUGGCGCAAGGGUGAGUAACACGUGAGUAAUCUGCCUUCGAAUCUGGGAUAACUUGACGAAAGUUAAGCUAAUACCGGAUAAGACCACACUUCACAAGAAGUGCGGCCAAAGGGUCUCAAACCCCGUUUGAAGAUGAGUUCGCGUACCAUUAGCUUGUUGGUGAGAUAACAGCUUACCAAGGCGACGAUGGUUAGCCGGCCUGAGAGGGUGAUCGGCCACACUGGAACUGAGACACGGUCCAGACUCCUACGGGAGGCAGCAGUGGGGAAUUUUGCGCAAUGGGCGAAAGCCUGACGCAGCAACGCCGCGUGAGCGAUGAAGGCCUUCGGGUCGUAAAGCUCUGUCAAGUGGGAAGAACACAAUGACGGUACCACUAGAGGAAGCCCCGGCUAACUUCGUGCCAGCAGCCGCGGUAAUACGAAGGGGGCAAGCGUUGUUCGGAAUUAUUGGGCGUAAAGCGUGUGUAGGUGGUUGUUCAAGUCAAACGUGUAAGCCCUCGGCUCAACCGAGGAAUUGCGUUUGAAACUGAUCGACUUGAGUACAGGAGAGGAAAGCGGAAUUCCCAGU
This 602-nucleotide ribosomal RNA is filed under the name uncultured bacterium. RNAcentral describes it as "bacterial SSU rRNA". It matches the Rfam family "Bacterial small subunit ribosomal RNA", at positions 63 to 674 of the family's 1533-position model. The record is from RNAcentral.